RNAcentral lists this ribosomal RNA (1492 nucleotides) under Lacticaseibacillus paracasei. RNAcentral's name for it is "bacterial SSU rRNA". It matches the Rfam family "Bacterial small subunit ribosomal RNA". Lineage: Bacteria; Bacillati; Bacillota; Bacilli; Lactobacillales; Lactobacillaceae. The record is from RNAcentral.
GAUGAACGCUGGCGGCGUGCCUAAUACAUGCAAGUCGAACGAGUUCUCGUUGAUGAUCGGUGCUUGCACCGAGAUUCAACAUGGAACGAGUGGCGGACGGGUGAGUAACACGUGGGUAACCUGCCCUUAAGUGGGGGAUAACAUUUGGAAACAGAUGCUAAUACCGCAUAGAUCCAAGAACCGCAUGGUUCUUGGCUGAAAGAUGGCGUAAGCUAUCGCUUUUGGAUGGACCCGCGGCGUAUUAGCUAGUUGGUGAGGUAAUGGCUCACCAAGGCGAUGAUACGUAGCCGAACUGAGAGGUUGAUCGGCCACAUUGGGACUGAGACACGGCCCAAACUCCUACGGGAGGCAGCAGUAGGGAAUCUUCCACAAUGGACGCAAGUCUGAUGGAGCAACGCCGCGUGAGUGAAGAAGGCUUUCGGGUCGUAAAACUCUGUUGUUGGAGAAGAAUGGUCGGCAGAGUAACUGUUGUCGGCGUGACGGUAUCCAACUAGAAAGCCACGGCUAACUACGUGCCAGCAGCCGCGGUAAUACGUAGGUGGCAAGCGUUAUCCGGAUUUAUUGGGCGUAAAGCGAGCGCAGGCGGUUUUUUAAGUCUGAUGUGAAAGCCCUCGGCUUAACCGAGGAAGCGCAUCGGAAACUGGGAAACUUGAGUGCAGAAGAGGACAGUGGAACUCCAUGUGUAGCGGUGAAAUGCGUAGAUAUAUGGAAGAACACCAGUGGCGAAGGCGGCUGUCUGGUCUGUAACUGACGCUGAGGCUCGAAAGCAUGGGUAGCGAACAGGAUUAGAUACCCUGGUAGUCCAUGCCGUAAACGAUGAAUGCUAGGUGUUGGAGGGUUUCCGCCCUUCAGUGCCGCAGCUAACGCAUUAAGCAUUCCGCCUGGGGAGUACGACCGCAAGGUUGAAACUCAAAGGAAUUGACGGGGGCCCGCACAAGCGGUGGAGCAUGUGGUUUAAUUCGAAGCAACGCGAAGAACCUUACCAGGUCUUGACAUCUUUUGAUCACCUGAGAGAUCAGGCUUCCCCUUCGGGGGCAAAAUGACAGGUGGUGCAUGGUUGUCGUCAGCUCGUGUCGUGAGAUGUUGGGUUAAGUCCCGCAACGAGCGCAACCCUUAUGACUAGUUGCCAGCAUUUAGUUGGGCACUCUAGUAAGACUGCCGGUGACAAACCGGAGGAAGGUGGGGAUGACGUCAAAUCAUCAUGCCCCUUAUGACCUGGGCUACACACGUGCUACAAUGGAUGGUACAACGAGUUGCGAGACCGCGAGGUCAAGCUAAUCUCUUAAAGCCAUUCUCAGUUCGGACUGUAGGCUGCAACUCGCCUACACGAAGUCGGAAUCGCUAGUAAUCGCGGAUCAGCACGCCGCGGUGAAUACGUUCCCGGGCCUUGUACACACCGCCCGUCACACCAUGAGAGUUUGUAACACCCGAAGCCGGUGGCGUAACCCUUCUAGGGAGCGAGCCGUCUAAGGUGGGACAAAUGAUUAGGGUG